Molecule: ribosomal RNA, 254 nt
Filed under: uncultured bacterium
Lineage: Bacteria
Description: partial 16S ribosomal RNA
Rfam family: Bacterial small subunit ribosomal RNA
Source: RNAcentral
UACGGAGGGUGCAAGCGUUAUCCGGAAUUACUGGGUUUAAAGGGUGCGUAGGCGGUUAUAUAAGUCAGGAGUGAAAUUCCACAGCUUAACUGUAGGGACUGCUUUUGAUACUGUAAGACUUGAACCAAGAUGAGGUAGGCGGAAUGUGGCAUGUAGCGGUGAAAUGCAUAGAUAUGCCAUAGAACACCGAUUGCGAAGGCAGCUUACUAGACUUGAGUUGACGCUGAGGCACGAAAGCGUGGGGAGCGAACAGG